GGCUAUGGCGGGCGGGGCGUGGGGGCCUCGUGCCCGCCGGCGAUCAUCACACACCGGUUUUCGAGCCACGCCCUGUCCGCCACCUUU
Stenotrophomonas maltophilia SKK35 is the source of this 87-nucleotide non-coding RNA. The record is from Rfam. NCBI's taxonomy places the organism in Bacteria, Pseudomonadati, Pseudomonadota, Gammaproteobacteria, Lysobacterales, Lysobacteraceae.